UCUCCGUUGGUGAACCAGCGGAGGGAUCAUUACCGAAUCAUUCUACUCCCAAACCCCUGUGAACUUAUACCUUUACUGUUGCUUCGGCGGGUUAACGCCCCGGAAGGCCCGCGCGGGCCGCCGGAACCAGGCGCCCGCCGGGGGACCCAAACUCUUGUAUCUUUUUUAUAGCAUGUCUGAGUGGAAUCAUAAACAAAUGAAUCAAAACUUUCAACAACGGAUCUCUUGGUUCUG
RNAcentral lists this unclassified non-coding RNA (234 nucleotides) under plant metagenome. Its description in RNAcentral is "partial contains small subunit ribosomal RNA, internal transcribed spacer 1, and 5.8S ribosomal RNA". The record is from RNAcentral.